RNAcentral lists this ribosomal RNA (265 nucleotides) under uncultured archaeon. RNAcentral describes it as "partial 16S ribosomal RNA". It matches the Rfam family "Archaeal small subunit ribosomal RNA", at positions 718 to 982 of the family's 1478-position model. The record is from RNAcentral.
AGUCACUGACAUUAGAUACCCCUGUAGUCCAGGGUGUAAACGCUGCAGACUUGGUGUUGGGAACCCUUCGGGGGUGCUCAGUGCCGGAGAGAAGUUGUUAAGUCUGCUACUUGGGGAGUACGUCCGCAAGGAUGAAACUUAAAGGAAUUGGCGGGGGAGCACCGCAACGGGAGGAGCGUGCGGUUUAAUUGGAUUCAACACCGUAAAACUCACCAGGGAAGACUGUUACAUGAAAGCCGAGAUGAAGACUCUGCUAGAUUUUCAG